AUGUACCACGCGUACGCUAAGGUUCUGAGCGUGCCUACCUGAUAGCUGCUCGCUACGUUUUGUCAGCC
Molecule: small RNA, 68 nt
Filed under: Xanthomonas euvesicatoria pv. citrumelonis
Lineage: Bacteria; Pseudomonadati; Pseudomonadota; Gammaproteobacteria; Lysobacterales; Lysobacteraceae
Also listed under: 3 other names
Description: sX9
Rfam family: Xanthomonas sRNA sX9
Source: RNAcentral